This 73-nucleotide transfer RNA is filed under the name Colacium vesiculosum. RNAcentral describes it as "tRNA-Val". It matches the Rfam family "tRNA". From Rfam's summary of the family: Transfer RNA (tRNA) molecules are approximately 80 nucleotides in length. Their secondary structure includes four short double-helical elements and three loops (D, anti-codon, and T loops). Further hydrogen bonds mediate the characteristic L-shaped molecular structure. tRNAs have two regions of fundamental functional importance: the anti-codon, which is responsible for specific mRNA codon recognition, and the 3' end, to which the tRNAs corresponding amino acid is attached (by aminoacyl-tRNA synthetases). tRNAs cope with the degeneracy of the genetic code in two manners: having more than one tRNA (with a specific anti-codon) for a particular amino acid; and 'wobble' base-pairing, i.e. permitting non-standard base-pairing at the 3rd anti-codon position. Lineage: Eukaryota; Euglenozoa; Euglenophyceae; Euglenales; Euglenaceae. The record is from RNAcentral.
GGGGGUAUAGCUCAGCUGGUAGAGCGUCUGCCUUACAAGCAGAAUGUCGGCGGUUCGAAUCCGUCUGUCCUCA